This 735-nucleotide ribosomal RNA is filed under the name uncultured Clostridia bacterium. RNAcentral's name for it is "bacterial SSU rRNA". It matches the Rfam family "Bacterial small subunit ribosomal RNA", at positions 115 to 872 of the family's 1533-position model. Lineage: Bacteria; Bacillati; Bacillota; Clostridia. The record is from RNAcentral.
CCGUGACAACCUGCCCUAUGACAUGGGAUAGCCUCGGGAAAACCGGGAUUUAAUACCGCAUAGAAUCGUAGAACACAUGUUUCAACGGUCAAAGAUUUGAUCGUCAUAGAUGGCCUCGCGUCUGAUGUAGCUAGUUGGUGAAGAUAGACAGCCCACCAAGGCCGACGAUCAGUAGCCGGUCUGAGAGGAUGAACGGCCACAUUGGAACUGAGACACGGUCCAAACUCCUACGGGAGGCAGCAGUGGGGAAUAUUGCACAAUGGGGGAAACCCUGAUGCAGCGACGCCGCGUGAACGAAGAAGGUAUUCGUAUCGUAAAGUUCUGUCCUAUGGGAAGAUAAUGACAGUACCAUAGAAGAAAGCUCCGGCUAAAUACGUGCCAGCAGCCGCGGUAAUACGUAUGGAGCGAGCGUUGUCCGGAAUUAUUGGGCGUAAAGGGUACGCAGGCGGUUUAAUAAGUCGAAUGUUAAAGAUCGGGGCUCAACCCCGUAAAGCAUUGGAAACUGAUAAACUUGAGUAGUGGAGAGGAAAGUGGAAUUCCUAGUGUAGUGGUGAAAUACGUAGAUAUUAGGAGGAAUACCAGUAGCGAAGGCGACUUUCUGGACACAAACUGACGCUGAGGUACGAAAGCGUGGGGAGCAAACAGGAUUAGGUACCCUGGUAGUCCACGCCGUACACGAUGAUGCUAGUGUUGGGGUCAAACCUCGGUGCCGAAGUUACACAUUAAGCAUUCCCC